CAAUAGCGUAUAUUAAAGUUGUUGCAGUUAAAAAGCUCGUAGUUGGAUUUCGGGGUGGCCUGGCUGGUCCGCCGCAAGGUGAGUACUGGUCAGCCGCCCUUCCUCUCGAAAGCCCCGACUGCUCUUUACUGCAGUGGUCGGGUAGUUCGGGACGUUUACUUUGAAAAAAUUAGAGUGUUCAAGGCAGGCUAUCGCCUGAAUACAUUAGCAUGGAAUAAUGGAAGAGGACCUCGGUCCUAUUUUGUUGGUUUCUAGGGCCGAAGUAAUGAUUAAGAGGGACAGUUGGGGGCAUUCGUAUUUAAUUGUCAGAGGUGAAAUUCUUGGAUUUAUGAAAGACGAACUAGUGCGAAAGCAUUUGUCAAGGAUGUUUUCAUUAA
Molecule: ribosomal RNA, 377 nt
Filed under: uncultured eukaryote
Lineage: Eukaryota
Description: partial 18S ribosomal RNA
Rfam family: Eukaryotic small subunit ribosomal RNA
Source: RNAcentral